RNAcentral lists this long non-coding RNA (971 nucleotides) under Nicotiana benthamiana. Its description in RNAcentral is "long non-coding RNA (NBEN_LNC026316)". The record is from RNAcentral. Lineage: Eukaryota; Viridiplantae; Streptophyta; Magnoliopsida; Solanales; Solanaceae.
ACAGAUUUUAAUCAAACAUAAAAUCGAUACUUAUCUCUUAAAGCGUGACUGCGAUCGCUAGAAGCCUCCAAGCAAGAACGAAACUAUCCACGAGAUCAUUCCAGUUCUACAGUCUUCUACAAUGUGGCCCGAAUAAUGCCUGGAAUUAGCGAAAUUCGUGUGGGCGAAUUUCUCCCUUGAGCCGCCUGUGAUAUAAGCUUAUCAACAUCACGUUCGCCGCCUCUAGCGUUUUGCAAGAGUAUAAGCUAAUAGGCCGAGUUUCACCGAUUAUUCGCAAAUUAAAGUCUUCAAUUCUCAAAUCAAUAAACUUUUUUCAAUAUUCAAAAGGCGAAUUUGUACAACACAGUAUCGUUCCGACAGCUAAAGUGAAAUUUCAUCAACGAAAUCCGGACCGGGAACCUCGUCGUUCGACUCAAAGUGCAAUAACUUGUCAACUUUUGGUAUAAAUCAACCAAAUCGGAACUUCUAACGGCUAAACAAACUCGGCGGCUCUUGACUGGAGCUCUCAUCGGUGAACCCAUACGAAAACAGCAACCUCGACCUCCACUUUGAUGUCACCGUUUACAUCGAAAACAGGGUUGUUCUGGGGUGUUCUUAGCUGGGAUUUGGUGGUCUAAGGUUGGAUUUGAGGGCUGUUUUGUUGUCUUUUUGGGGCUGAAAUUUCCAGCUAGUUUGGAUGGUGUUUUAAAACGGCAGCUCGUAGAAGACGAUGGGCAUGGUUGAAACUUUUUGGAAUGGAGACCGUUCUUCUUCUGCUGAAGAAGCAAAAGAUCUGAAGGCUACCUCUUUUGUUGUCUCUUAGCUUUAGGUCUCUCGGGCGUUUGUGUUGUUCUCUUAGAGAGAAACGACUGAUUGGUAUUUUCUGAUGUAGGGAGAAAAAAUAACUUAAUUUUCUCAAAGAGAUUCUUAGAUAGUAGAGCUUCGUGCUGAUAACGUGUUAUAAAAUAAUACAAGAACAAGAACAAUAUUGU